GACCAGGACUCACAUUUAGGACUGGAUUAGUCUGGAUCAGAGACUCACACCUGGUCCAAUGGCACUACUGUUAUUCUGGAAGUAUUUUACUUGUAGACCAGUG
Sphaeramia orbicularis (orbiculate cardinalfish) is the source of this 103-nucleotide long non-coding RNA. RefSeq lists it as uncharacterized. The transcript is spliced from 3 exons. NCBI's taxonomy places the organism in Eukaryota, Metazoa, Chordata, Actinopteri, Kurtiformes, Apogonidae. The record is from RefSeq and is a predicted model, not a curated record.